This is a non-coding RNA of Vicia faba (fava bean), 333 nucleotides long. NCBI's taxonomy places the organism in Eukaryota, Viridiplantae, Streptophyta, Magnoliopsida, Fabales, Fabaceae. The record is from the annotation of a GenBank genome assembly.
AUGCAAACAAAGCUCUCCUUCUCUCUCGCUUGUCGACUGAUUAUUUUCCAACGGCCAUCGCCUCAGUGUUUGACUUCGUUUCAGUCUGAUCCGCAUCAGCGUCAAUGGCUUCGAGAAUUUGUUCAUCUCUUCCGUACCUUUCUUCUUCAAUAUCCGUCUCAAAUCGUCUUAUUCACCGUCAUCAUCUUCAUUUGUGUCUGUUAUCCACCUCUAUCAUCUGAUUUUGAAGCUUCAACGAUGUCCUCUGCUUCGCGGUUUCAAACGUGUCUUCGAUCUCACUUCGAUGACGUCCUUUGCUUCGCAGUUUCAAAUGUGUCUCCGAUCUCACUUUGA